AAUCCGGUUUUAAAUUUCGAAUUGGUCCAUUCCAAAGUAAUCCACUUAAAACCCUCUCUCACGAACACUUCUCUCUCCUCUUCAUUCAUCACUCAUUCACUCUCUUUGUUAAUCAAAACUCUCUCUCAAAAUCUUAGAUGCUCUUUCCGAUUUACAUUCCAAUAAUGAAUCAUAUAUUUUUAGAUAAUUCGGUGUUCCAUUUUCCGUUCCAAUGAAAUUCAGUUUCAUUUUUCAUUCAUAUUCUAAUCAUGAACCAAACGUAUCCUAAAUGUAAUUGUUCUCUAUGUACUCUUUCGUAAUGUUCUAGUCUCAUUUUUCAAU
Molecule: long non-coding RNA, 321 nt
Filed under: Ananas comosus (pineapple)
Lineage: Eukaryota; Viridiplantae; Streptophyta; Magnoliopsida; Poales; Bromeliaceae
Description: long non-coding RNA (ACOM_LNC033046)
Source: RNAcentral